This 876-nucleotide long non-coding RNA is filed under the name Brassica napus (rape). Its description in RNAcentral is "long non-coding RNA (BNAP_LNC000186)". Lineage: Eukaryota; Viridiplantae; Streptophyta; Magnoliopsida; Brassicales; Brassicaceae. The record is from RNAcentral.
AACAAUUCUAUCUCAGAGUUUACACGUCCUCUACUUCGUACCGAGACGAGUAUCCGCCACCAAAGAACGCUCUUAUGUGCGGACGAGCUAGAGGCCGCCACACUAGGCCGUUCUAGAACGAAUAUCAAAAUCCAACGGCUCAACCUUUUUUAUUUUAUUUAUGAUUGGAUGAUCUAAAAUGUUUAGUAUUGUCACGAGAGGGUGGCAACAAAUGAGAGCUUCGUGGAUUUUGUUCACUACGGCAUGAAAGUUACGAAAACAAUUUGGAGCUUGACUUGAGCUUUCAAUUUAAUUUGAAUGAUGAAAUCAAAUGUAGUGUUCUUGUUUUUAAAUCUUUUAAAACAAUUUUCAUUACUUGUUUUUCGAACUCUAAAGUUAUUGUAUUACGUGACCACAAGACUUAUUUAUCUGUAUUGUCAUUCCACAAGAACCAGCAAAACUCAAGUUAGCUGAUUAAAAAGAUUUUGCAUAAAAUAUCUUAAACAACGACAGCAAGAGAGGAUAAUUUCUUACAAACUUAUGACAAAUAACAAAAAUUGGACCUUUUGACCAUAAAAAGAAAAAGAAAAAAUUGGACCUCACUUUUAGGGGUCAUAUUCGUAUGUUUUAGGGCAGCAAUUCUAUGACCAAGGUUACACUUCAUGUACACGAGUAUCAUCGAUCUAUGAUAUUCAAUUAUCCGCUGAUGCUGCCGUUCUAGAACGAAUAUCAAAAUCCAACGGCUCAACUUUUUUUUAUUUAUGAUUGGAUGAUCUGAAAUGUUUAGUAUUGUCACGAGAGGGUGGCAACAAAUGUGAGCUUCGUGGAUUUUGUUCACUACGGCAUGAAAGUUACGAAAACAAUUUGGAGCUUGACUUGAGCUUUCAAUUUAAUUUG